Molecule: ribosomal RNA, 678 nt
Filed under: Streptococcus dysgalactiae subsp. equisimilis
Lineage: Bacteria; Bacillati; Bacillota; Bacilli; Lactobacillales; Streptococcaceae
Description: bacterial SSU rRNA
Rfam family: Bacterial small subunit ribosomal RNA
Source: RNAcentral
ACCUGACGUGAGACUGCUAGGUGGUAGGGCCUUUGCGGGGCUAUUGCCGAACUAACGCAUUAAUCACUCCGCCGGGGGAGUACGACCGCAGGGUUGAAACUCAAAGGAAUUGACGGGGGCCCGCACAAGCGGGGGACCAUGGGGUUUAAUUCGAAGCAACGCGAAAAACCUUACCGGGUCUGGACAUCCUCCUGACCGGCCUAGAUAUAGGCUUUCCCUUCGGGGCAGGAGUGACAGGGGGUGCAUGGUUGUCGUCAGCUCGGGUCGUGAAAUGUUGGGUUAAUUCCCGCAACAAGCGCACCCCCUAUUGUUAGUUGCCAUCAUUAAGUUGGGCACUCUAACGAGACUGCCGGUAAUAAACCGGAGGAAGGUGGGGAUGACGUCAAAUCAUCAUGCCCCUUAUGACCUGGGCUACACACGUGCUACAAUGGUUGGUACAACGAGUCGCAAGCCCGUGACGGCAAGCUAAUCUCUUAAAGCCAAUCUCAGUUCGGAUUGUAGGCUGCAACUCGCCUACAUGAAGUCGGAAUCGCUAGUAAUCGCGGAUCAGCACGCCGCGGUGAAUACGUUCCCGGGCCUUGUACACACCGCCCGUCACCCACGAGAGUUUGUACACCCGAAGUCGGUGAGGUAACCUAUUAGGAGCCCCCGCCCAAGGUGGAUAAUGAUUGGGGUGAA